This 724-nucleotide long non-coding RNA is filed under the name Rhagoletis pomonella (apple maggot). RNAcentral describes it as "uncharacterized LOC118734243". Lineage: Eukaryota; Metazoa; Arthropoda; Insecta; Diptera; Tephritidae. The record is from RNAcentral.
AAAUCACGCAGCCUCCGCUUACAAGUAUUUUGCUGAAAAACUUAAGCUCUAAUGCAGAACUGUGGCCGGUUGAAGAAGCGGAAUUCGAGGAUUUGGAGCUAGACGGACUCGAGCAUUUAGCGGGAUAUAUUUGCCACAAGCUGCAGGAUGACAUUCCCAGCACGUCGUUCAGGAGCAAUGACGACCAUUCAUUCUCCUGGGCGGAUCACCUUAAUGAGGGUGGGUUAUCCCUACCAAGCUCCUCUAUGAUGGUCCAUAUGCGAAGUCUUGAGUCAGUCUUUAAGGCAUUGAACGAAGAUGGCUUGCUCAUUACAAAUGAUUUUGUAAAAACUCACAUUGAGCAUGCUGCAACAAUUCAAUGCGACAUUGAAGUAAAAAAAUUAUUUUUCAGGGCAAGAAUGUUCUUCAAAAUACGAAAAUUAAAUAAAGAACUCGUUGAAAAUGCCCACAAAAGAAAAAGAAAAGCCAAAAAAACUCUGACCUAGAUCGAUCCAUAUGGUACCAUUAUAGAACCGUAAGUAUUGCAUAAAAUACCAAACAUGUGGUAAGUUUUGAACUAAAGCGUUUUUAAAUUUGUAGAAAUUAACCGUUCUUUACUUGCAGCAUGAAUCAAUGUCCGCAUUUCACACGCACUGAUCUCAGUAUUUCAGACUCCUAAAAUUAAAAUACUUGCAUGCUACGCAAGUAAUAUGAUUCAUCCAAAGGCCCUUUUCAGGGCCGCCAA